Molecule: ribosomal RNA, 320 nt
Filed under: uncultured Actinomycetes bacterium
Lineage: Bacteria; Bacillati; Actinomycetota; Actinomycetes
Description: bacterial SSU rRNA
Rfam family: Bacterial small subunit ribosomal RNA
Source: RNAcentral
GACGAACGCUGGCGGCGUGCUUAACACAUGCAAGUCGAGCGGAAAGGCCACUUCGGUGGUACUCGAGCGGCGAACGGGUGAGUAACACGUGAGUAAUCUGCCCCUGGCUUUGGGAUAGCCACCGGAAACGGUGAUUAAUACCGAAUAUGACCACGUACUGCAUGGUGUGUGGUGGAAAGUUUUUCGGCCAGGGAUGUGCUCGCGGCCUAUCAGCUUGAUGGUGAGGUAAUGGCUCACCAUGGCUUCGACGGGUAGCCGGCCUGAGAGGGUGACCGGUCACACUGGGACUGAGACACGGCCCAGACUCCUACGGGUGGCUG